GACGAACGCUGGCGGCGUGCUUAACACAUGCAAGUCGAACGAUGAAGCUGGAGCUUGCUCCGGUGGAUUAGUGGCGAACGGGUGAGUAACACGUGAGUAAUCUGCCCUUGACUCUGGGAUAACUGCGGGAAACUGUAGCUAAUACCGGAUACGACACCUUCGGGCAUCCGAUGGGUGUGGAAAGAAUUUCGGUCAAGGAUGAACUCGCGGCCUAUCAGCUAGUUGGUGAGGUAAUGGCUCACCAAGGCGACGACGGGUAGCCGGCCUGAGAGGGUGACCGGCCACCCUGGGACUGAGACACGGCCCAGACUCCUACGGGAGGCGGCAGUGGGGAAUAUUGCACAAUGGGCGAAAGCCUGAUGCAGCAACGCCGCGUGAGGGAUGAAGGCCUUCGGGUUGUAAACCUCUUUUAGUUGGGAAGAAGCGAAAGUGACGGUACCAACAGAAAAAGCACCGGCUAACUACGUGCCAGCCGCCGCGGUAA
This 484-nucleotide ribosomal RNA is filed under the name uncultured bacterium. RNAcentral describes it as "partial 16S ribosomal RNA". It matches the Rfam family "Bacterial small subunit ribosomal RNA", at positions 28 to 523 of the family's 1533-position model. The record is from RNAcentral.